UAUUCCUAAUUUGCACAGCGAGAAGAAGAAGGGAAAACAAAGAAAGAGAAGAAGAGAAGAGAAGGAAAGAAGAGCGGGAGGGAAAAUAAAGGGAGAAUUGUGGUUCUUGAGGCAGCAGUUGGGUAAUUCUUCAUCCAGAUGAUGAUCCAGGAAACCAUCCGGAGUCUCUAGCCAAGGAGCCGACUCCUUAUGGAGGUGAUCUUUGGGUCGAGGAGCUAAUUACGCAUGAGGACAGCUCCAUAUGUGAUGAUUGUGCCUUUGGAGCAUACUGAGGAUGAGAGUAUCAUCUUCUAUUUUUUAUUCUUUUGUGUAUAUAUUUGAUGUAGCUCUAGGGACAUAACUAUAAUUAUGGUCUGCUGUGAAAAAUAUUCUUUUGUGUAAUUAUGGUAAAUAUCAUUAGAAGUCACCAAUUGUGUUAUAUUUUAAUUAUUAUUA
Molecule: long non-coding RNA, 435 nt
Organism: Macadamia integrifolia
Lineage: Eukaryota; Viridiplantae; Streptophyta; Magnoliopsida; Proteales; Proteaceae
Exons: 2
Source: RefSeq, a predicted model, not a curated record